AGGAAUCUGUUUCCAUCUUUGUUUUUGUGAUUGGUGAUCUGAUGUCACCGUCAUUAUAAAAACUGUUCCUGUUCGGUUUAACCAGACCCCGAUCGCCGUGCCGUCUCCAGUUUCUGUGUUACAUUAAUGACACACACACUUGUUUACUCGAGAGUGAAAUAGGAGACCUCACAGAGGGCUGGAGCAGAAACGUCUGCUUCUGUUCCUAGAGCCAGCAGGCUUAUGGAAACAUGGCCUGUUGCUGGAUAGAUGUCCUUUUUUGGACCGAUCUGACGAUCCUGCCUCUUCUGGAACUGCUUGUCGACUUCCUCACGGUCGUUCCUCCGUCUGGGCUUCAGUCGACGAAACAAUUCAACAAGAGACUAAUUAGAAGAACAGCAGCAGCUUGAGGAGGACCUCGGAGCUACACUCAUCCCAGAUGGAGCUGGUGUGAUCCAGCGCCUGCCAGUGAUGAAUGGUUUUAAGGUAGAUGACUCAUCCUCUCCUCAGACCCCUCCCAGGAGAAUAACGGGAGUGGUGAAGUGUUCUGCAUCAACAAGCAGCUCUCUGCCACCUAGUGGACACCUGAUCAGACACGCCAAGGACAAAAUCCUCCUCCGAAAUCCCCGGAUCUCAUUUUCAUGAUGCAAAUGUGACUCACAGGGGUGAGAGGCAGCGGUCGCAUGAGCGUACGUGUUAUGUUAAAGGGUCUGAAAAUAAAAGGUCUGUUUUUUGUGCUCAGCUGAUUCUCCACCUGAUCUGAUUAGCCAGGACCCAGAGUCCUCCUGAAUGAGUGCAGAAGGACCCUUAAAGACAAACGCAGGGCAACAAGACUGAAAGAACUCAAAGCAUAUAUAUAGAUAUAGAUAUGUAGACUCCUCUUGUAGAUGCUGAAACUGUUGUUUAUAAUGAUUUCACAGAGAUAACGUGUUCGUCUACAAACCCAUUCACUCAACAGAAGUAAGGGAAUGAAUGGUUUCUAACUGGAGACUCUGCUGGUGUUUUAUUGGUGCAUGAUGGACUUUAAUCUCAAGUUAAAUCUCAUCUAGUCACUGACCUGAAGCAAAAUGAAAUAUCAAACCAACCCAACAGGCAAGACUGAGUGUUGCUGCUGCUUAUUUUCCUAAUUUUAAUCAACUUUUAUUUGUUUCAUUUUAGUCAAAAGUGACAGAGGGGAGAAAAGUGAAUGUGUAUGAAACAAAGCUGAGAUUUCUACGGCUUUUCUGAGUGUAAUUCAUAAGAAUCUCCAGUCUCUUGUAUGUAACACGGAUUUGUUUUGAAAACAGAGACCUAAUAAACUCACCAUGAAAUAAA
Nothobranchius furzeri (turquoise killifish) is the source of this 1293-nucleotide long non-coding RNA. RefSeq lists it as uncharacterized. The record is from RefSeq and is a predicted model, not a curated record. Lineage: Eukaryota; Metazoa; Chordata; Actinopteri; Cyprinodontiformes; Nothobranchiidae.